Molecule: ribosomal RNA, 562 nt
Filed under: uncultured Enterococcus sp.
Lineage: Bacteria; Bacillati; Bacillota; Bacilli; Lactobacillales; Enterococcaceae
Description: bacterial SSU rRNA
Rfam family: Bacterial small subunit ribosomal RNA
Source: RNAcentral
CCCGCCCCUUCCGCCGCCCCCGCCCGCCUACGGGAGGCAGCAGUAGGGAAUCUUCGGCAAUGGACGAAAGUCUGACCGAGCAACGCCGCGUGAGUGAAGAAGGUUUUCGGAUCGUAAAACUCUGUUGUUAGAGAAGAACAAGGAUGAGAGUAACUGUUCAUCCCUUGACGGUAUCUAACCAGAAAGCCACGGCUAACUACGUGCCAGCAGCCGCGGUAAUACGUAGGUGGCAAGCGUUGUCCGGAUUUAUUGGGCGUAAAGCGAGCGCAGGCGGUUUCUUAAGUCUGAUGUGAAAGCCCCCGGCUCAACCGGGGAGGGUCAUUGGAAACUGGGAGACUUGAGUGCAGAAGAGGAGAGUGGAAUUCCAUGUGUAGCGGUGAAAUGCGUAGAUAUAUGGAGGAACACCAGUGGCGAAGGCGGCUCUCUGGUCUGUAACUGACGCUGAGGCUCGAAAGCGUGGGGAGCAAACAGGAUUAGAUACCCUGGUAGUCCACGCCGUAAACGAUGAGUGCUAAGUGUUGGAGGGUUUCCGCCCUUCAGUGCUGCAGCUAACGCAUUAAGC